RNAcentral lists this ribosomal RNA (244 nucleotides) under uncultured bacterium. Its description in RNAcentral is "partial small subunit ribosomal RNA". It matches the Rfam family "Bacterial small subunit ribosomal RNA", at positions 26 to 285 of the family's 1533-position model. The record is from RNAcentral.
AGAAUCAACGCUGGCGGCGUGCCUAACACAUGCAAGUCGCACGAGAAAGGGACUUCGGUCCUGAGUAAAGUGGCGCACGGGUGAGUAACACGUGAAUCAUCUACCUCCGAAUGGGGAAUAACUGAGAGAAAUCUUAGCUAAUACCGCAUAAUACCUACGGGUCAAAGCAGCAAUGCGUUUGGAGAGGAGUUCGCGGUCGAUUAGUUAGUUGGCGGGGUAAUGGCCCACAAGACGAUGAUCGAUA